GUUUUUCCAAAUGAGGUAUGGGGUUAAUUGAUUCAGCAUAUGUUGCAUGGUAACUCUCAGUUGAGAAGUAUCGGGAGCAAAGAUCAUAGGGGCUCCUUCCUAGGUAUUCAGAAACAGCAAUACUAUGGCAACAAGCCAAUCCAUUAAGCUGCCACUCUUUGCAACUACAAUCCCAUUGAUCAAUAUCAACUACUUCGACAGAUUCACCACGAACUUCAAAUGUGCUGCCAUGUGAGGGUAAUGGGUGAAGUGACCUCGCU
RNAcentral lists this long non-coding RNA (260 nucleotides) under Solanum melongena (eggplant). RNAcentral's name for it is "long non-coding RNA (SMEL_LNC000173)". The record is from RNAcentral. Lineage: Eukaryota; Viridiplantae; Streptophyta; Magnoliopsida; Solanales; Solanaceae.